ACUCAUUGAUCAACAUGAAAUGAAGUGUAAAGAUUGUGUUCACCUAUUGAAAAUUAAAAAGACAUUUUGUUUAUGUAAAAGAUUAACAGAACUUAAAGAUAAUCACUGUGAGCAACUUAGAGUAAAAAUUCGAAAACUGAAAAAUAAGGCUAGUGUACUACAAAAGAGACUAUCUGAAAAAGAAGAAAUAAAAUCGCAGUUAAAGCAUGAAACACUUGAAUUGGAAAAAGAACUCUGUAGUUUGAGAUUUGCCAUACAGCAAGAAAAAAAGAAAAGAAGAAAUGUUGAAGAGUUGCACCAAAAAGUUAGGGAAAAGUUAAGAAUCACAGAAGAGCAAUAUAGGAUAGAAGCUGAUGUGACAAAACCAAUUAAACCGGCUCUCAAAUCAGCAGAGGUGGA
Molecule: long non-coding RNA, 399 nt
Filed under: Homo sapiens (human)
Lineage: Eukaryota; Metazoa; Chordata; Mammalia; Primates; Hominidae
Description: non-protein coding lnc-GPAT2-6:1
Source: RNAcentral